CUCAGAGUUCCCUGCCGGUGCUGUUAUUGGAGUUUGUGUCGUAUUGAUGCUGCUUCUUGCACUCUGCACUACUGGAAUCUUCUUCUGGAAGAAAAACAAUAAUGCUUCUGAACAUUCAUCCUCUCAAACUCCUACAAUGUUAGAGCUUCUGACUGAUCACACUGUUCAAUGAAGAUUAGAAGAAGACACGUCUUUCUAGUGAAGUGGUUGCAUCAAUAUUUAAUUAGGGUAUGUUAUGUGACAUAAAUAUACAUUAACAAAACUUGUUUCACUUUAAAUCUAACUAUUCAAGUGUUCAUAGAUUUAACUGUUUCAGAUGGUCAGUGGAUGCAGUGAAAAAACUGAGUAGUGAUAGAAGCAUUUUAUCUGCAGCUGUUUCUGCAGGCCUUUGGUGUAAAGAUUGUAGCAGCUGCCAGUGGAGGAAAAAUUACACUGGAAAUAAAAGUCCUGCAUUCAAAACUUACUGAAGUAAAAGUACAACAUAAUCAGCAUCAAAAUGUACUUAAAGAAUCAAAAGUAAAAGUACUUGUUAUGCAGAAUGGUCCCACACAGAUUGUUUUAUAUAUUCCAUAUAUAGUA
Long non-coding RNA from Centropristis striata (black sea bass), 579 nucleotides. RefSeq lists it as uncharacterized. The transcript has 3 exons. Lineage: Eukaryota; Metazoa; Chordata; Actinopteri; Perciformes; Serranidae. The record is from RefSeq and is a predicted model, not a curated record.